RNAcentral lists this ribosomal RNA (301 nucleotides) under uncultured bacterium. Its description in RNAcentral is "partial 16S ribosomal RNA". It matches the Rfam family "Bacterial small subunit ribosomal RNA", at positions 509 to 807 of the family's 1533-position model. The record is from RNAcentral.
CAGCCGCCGCGGUAAUACGAAGGGGGCUAGCGUUGUUCGGAUCUACUGGACGUAAAGGGCGCGUAGGCGGGCUGAUCAGUCAGGGGUGAAAUCCCAAGGCUCAACCUUGGAACUGCCUUUGAUACUGUCGGUCUUGAGUUCGAGAGAGGUAAGUGGAACUGCUAGUGUAGAGGUGAAAUUCGUAGAUAUUCGCAAGAACACCAGUGGCGAAGGCGGCUUACUGGCUCGAAACUGACGCUGAGGCGCGAAAGCGUGGGGAGCAAACAGGAUUAGAUACCCGAGUAGUCCCUGUCUCUUAUAC